This 495-nucleotide ribosomal RNA is filed under the name uncultured bacterium. Its description in RNAcentral is "partial 16S ribosomal RNA". It matches the Rfam family "Bacterial small subunit ribosomal RNA", at positions 28 to 507 of the family's 1533-position model. The record is from RNAcentral.
GACGAACGCUGGCGGCGUGCCUAAUACAUGCAAGUCGAACGCUGAAGGAGGAGCUUGCUCUUCUGGAUGAGUUGCGAACGGGUGAGUAACGCGUAGGUAACCUGCCUGGUAGCGGGGGAUAACUAUUGGAAACGAUAGCUAAUACCGCAUAAGAGUAGAUGUUGCACGACAUUUACUUAAAAGGUGCAAUUGCAUCACUACCAGAUGGACCUGCGUUGUAUUAGCUAGUUGGUGGGGUAACGGCUUACCAAGGCGACGAUACAUAGCCGACCUGAGAGGGUGAUCGGCCACACUGGGACUGAGACACGGCCCAGACGCCUACGGGAGGCAGCAGUAGGGAAUCGUCGGCAAUGGACGGAAGUCUGACCGAGCAACGCCGAGGGAGGGAAGAAGGGUUUCGGAUCGUAAAGCUCUGUUGUAAGAGAAGAACGAGUGUGAGAGUGGAAAGUUCACACUGUGACGGUAUCUUACCAGAAAGGGACGGCUAACUACGUG